AAGGAAAAUGAAUCAAGUGCUUAAAAAUCAUCAGCAAUUUUGAUCUGCUAAUAAGAUCCUGAAUAUUUAAAAAUCAGAGAGGAAGGAUUAAUACAGGUGGAACAGUUCAAACAAAGACAUCCUUCCCUGUUUCUGGCAGCCAGACUAUCUUUAAAGCAGCACAUGGAAACACUGAAAACUCUGAACACUGGCUUCAGUGAGAAACAAGAAGCUUUUGAACAACAAAAGCCUGGAUCAAAUCUUGAGUCCCAGUAUACACAACGGAGAGACAUUUCCCUGUGCUGCCUUUCUGAUGCCCCCAAGUUUUGCUCUCAAAGCUGGACACCAGGCUGCCUGCAGCAAUGGAAUUCCCUGCUGCCUAACCUGAGCAGGGACAGAGGUUAUCACUGACUAGGCUGUGAUGAACUGUAUGGAAACACAGCCUGUGAUAUGUCAGGCAAGUCAGAAAAUUUUGCUCUCUUCCACACAAAGGACAGCUCCUGUCACUGACAUCAGGUGACUUUUCACCUUCCAUAUUUGAUCAGUGGCCUGGAUUCAGAGUGGGAAGAGCAGAAGUAUCUAAAAUCUGUUCCUAGCUAGCAACAAACCUUGAUGUGACAGCAGAGGAGGAAAGCAAAUAGCUGGGACCUGUUCCUGCAGUGCUCAAGCAGGUGAG
Molecule: non-coding RNA, 655 nt
Organism: Zonotrichia albicollis (white-throated sparrow)
Lineage: Eukaryota; Metazoa; Chordata; Aves; Passeriformes; Passerellidae
Source: RefSeq, a predicted model, not a curated record